CUCUCGGCAGGGCCCGCCCUGGCCGCCCCGGGGGCCUCGGUGGCCGUGGCCGGGGCCGGGGCAGUGGCUGAGGUAGCGGCGUCCUCUCCGGCCGCGGGUGCGGCGAGGCUUGGCANGGGCGCUGGGGCGUCGGCGAGGCCCUCGGNAGGUGGCCUAGGCCGGCCUGCGUCUUCACCGUCGUCCUGUCCUGGGGUCCCCGAGCAUAGUGGCUGUGCCUUCGCCUUCUCGGCCGGCUGCGUCGCUUCUUCCCGGUCUGCCGGGGCUGCGGCCACCUCUGCCAGCCCUCCCUGAGACUUGGUGGCCACUAUGUUGCCACCUGGCUCCUCGGCGUCAGUGGCUUCCACGCCGUCACAGCUGUCACCUUCCGAGCUGGGUGCAGCGCGGCUACUUCGAGCUGAAGGCCAUGUCUACACAUCAUAAGAAGGUGGAGGAGGAAACCCCAUUAGGCUAACAUCCAUCCAAGCAGCAUCAUACUGUCAGACCACCUCGCGUUGUGCUAUUAACCUCCUGGCACACAACUGCCAAGCUAACAGACGGCUCUCACUCCUGAGGCGGCAAGACUUCGCAUGCACUAAGAAAGUAGUCUCUUGUAGCACAGACUACUUUUGAAUUCACUCUGUAGCUGGGGGUGACCUUGAACGCCUCCUCUUCUUGCCUCCACAGCAUCCUGUGUCCUGGUAGAACGUCUUGAAUGUGACUGAGGUGCCUACAGCACUAUCCAACAACACUGGGUGAUGGCAGGGCCAGCUUCCUAGAGCCGAAUAGUGACUGGAGAAGGUGUGGGCUCUAGUGGGUAAGUGGUAAAAGUCAGCGAGGUACAUAAAGGGCAGUGACACUGAGUUCCCGAGUAACAACAGCAUUGCCACACACCCUGCCUGAAGAUCUGGGAGAUCAAGGAGAAGGGGAUGGUUCCAGACAGUAUCUUGAUAAGGCUCAUGCAAGACUCAAGCACACUAUUUAAGUGAAGAUGACUUGGAACUCCUGAUCCUCUUGUCUCCCAGUCUUCUUG
Molecule: long non-coding RNA, 1009 nt
Filed under: Mus caroli (Ryukyu mouse)
Lineage: Eukaryota; Metazoa; Chordata; Mammalia; Rodentia; Muridae
Description: predicted gene, 16599 (MGP_CAROLIEiJ_G0003792.1)
Source: RNAcentral